UUAUCCGGAUUUAUUGGGUUUAAAGGGUGCGUAGGCGGUUUGAUAAGUUAGAGGUGAAAUUUCGGGGCUCAACCCUGAACGUGCCUCUAAUACUGUUGAGCUAGAGAGUAGUUGCGGUAGGCGGAAUGUAUGGUGUAGCGGUGAAAUGCUUAGAGAUCAUACAGAACACCGAUUGCGAAGGCAGCUUACCAAACUAUAUCUGACGUUGAGGCACGAAAGCGUGGGGAGCAAACAGGAUUAGAUACCCUGGUAGUCCACGCAGUAAACGAUGAUAACUCGUUGUCGGCGAUACACAGUCGGUGACUAAGCGAAAGCGAUAAGUUAUCCACCUGGGGAGUACGUUCGCAAGAAUGAAACUCAAAGGAAUUGACGGGGGCCCGCACAAGCGGAGGAACAUGUGGUUUAAUUCGAUGAUACGCGAAGAA
Molecule: ribosomal RNA, 425 nt
Filed under: uncultured bacterium
Lineage: Bacteria
Description: bacterial SSU rRNA
Rfam family: Bacterial small subunit ribosomal RNA
Source: RNAcentral